Molecule: long non-coding RNA, 434 nt
Organism: Hyla sarda
Lineage: Eukaryota; Metazoa; Chordata; Amphibia; Anura; Hylidae
Exons: 3
Source: RefSeq, a predicted model, not a curated record
AAUUUAAAUUUUGCUUAGUGCAGAAUUUGUUCGAACAAGAAACUUGAGGUAGAUACCCAAACAGUGUGAACUGGAGAUAAUCUUGGUUCAAAACCUCUGAAACACCAUGCGAUACCAUGAUCAGGCUUCAUCAUAGCGCCUGAUGUCUUGUGGACCGCGCCGCUGUCUAAUCAGAGCUAUUCUCUGCGAUCUGCAUGUAAUUACAUCUCUACCUGAAAAGUGACGGCGCCAUUAAUUGGAAGCAAAAUGGUAAAGAAUAGUUUGUAAAUUGGUCUCGUCGAGAGGGUGACGCUUGUUUCGUGCAGGAAAUUCUUGCUGCUUUGCUGCAGUACCUGGGGUGUACUGAUGAUCCCACCUUUAUUAUAUAAUGAGGGGAAAAUGCAGGUGACUUUGUGUAUAUGAAAAGAUAUUCAGCAGACUUCAUCAGCAGUAUU